CCCUGGUCUGCUGAGCCUUUUCUAAAGACAUAGAAACAAGUAAGAACCAUUCUGCACAGCAUCAGGCCGAGGUGGACGUUCCAAUCAGACUGGAAGGACAGGACAGAGGGACAUGACGAUGAGGCCAUGUUGAUGAGUGUCCCUUAUACUCUGGGUAUGGUGGAUUUCCAGAUGAAAUCUCAACAAGGAGCUCUUCUGACGUGAUCGUCGCAAACGUCGUCUUCCUGCAGAUGGUACACAGCUGGAGCCGGGUUGGAGGAUCUUUCCCCUACAUUCCAUUCCCUAGAGUAAGAGAAGGCUGAGCGGCUGGUGGCCUGGCCUCUGUCAGUGGCCAAGACCCAGUGACUGAUGUCUGAACAAAGAAGGAGCCUUCUCAGGCAACAGAAUCAGCCGAAAUAAACAUCGCCAGCAUGGGUACCGUACACUGCGAGUUCAGUGGUGGCUAUAUAAUAAAUAUCUUCCCUCCAGUGCCCAAUACCACACGAUCGAAUAAAUAAGUGAAAAGUUACAAGCAAGCAGUUUCCAUGUUAUGACUGUGGGGUUGAAGAUAAUUGAAUUAAUCAGCCACCCAGAGAGUUGUGUCUCCUUGGUGUCCUGACCCAGAAGUGGGCAUCUCUCUCCAUGACUUUCAGAGCCCUUUGGUGAUAAGAGAGUUCUGGUGUUAGGGAAUAUAAAUUUAGGUUUUAUUACUGAGUUUUCUGGCAAUGAAUUCACAAAAGCCUCUGGGUGUCAUUUCACUGUAU
RNAcentral lists this long non-coding RNA (743 nucleotides) under Rattus norvegicus (Norway rat). Its description in RNAcentral is "long non-coding RNA NONRATT032840". The record is from RNAcentral. Lineage: Eukaryota; Metazoa; Chordata; Mammalia; Rodentia; Muridae.